This 465-nucleotide ribosomal RNA is filed under the name uncultured bacterium. Its description in RNAcentral is "partial 16S ribosomal RNA". It matches the Rfam family "Bacterial small subunit ribosomal RNA", at positions 29 to 507 of the family's 1533-position model. The record is from RNAcentral.
ACGCACGCUGGCGGCGUGCUUAACCCCCUCAAGUCGCACGGAAAGGCCCUGCUUGCAGGGUACUCGAGUGGCGAACGGGUGAGUAACACGUGGGUGAUCUGCCCUGCACUUCGGGAUAAGCUUGGGAAACUGGGUCUAAUACCGGAUAGGAGCCAUCUUUAGUGUGGUGGUUGGAAAGUUUUUUCGGUGUAGGAUGAGCUCGCGGCCUAUCAGCUUGUUGGUGGGGUAAUGGCCUACCAAGGCGGCGACGGGUAGCCGGCCUGAGAGGGUGUACGGCCACAUUGGGACUGAGAUACGGCCCAGACUCCUACGGGAGGCAGCAGUGGGGAAUAUUGCACAAUGGGCGCAAGCCUGAUGCAGCGACGCCGCGUGGGGGAUGAAGGCCUUCGGGUUGUAAACUCCUUUCGCUAGGGACGAAGCUUUUUUGUGACGGUACCUAGAUAAGAAGCACCGGCUAACUACGUG